UGGAUGCCACGUCAAAUUGCAAAUUUGAAGACGCCCCGUUUUGG
RNAcentral lists this transfer RNA (44 nucleotides) under Rhacodactylus auriculatus (New Caledonia bumpy gecko). RNAcentral's name for it is "partial tRNA-Cys". The record is from RNAcentral. Lineage: Eukaryota; Metazoa; Chordata; Lepidosauria; Squamata; Diplodactylidae.